AUUGAACGCUGGCGGCAGGCCUAACACAUGCAAGUCGAGCGGGGUUUUCGGACCUAGCGGCGGACGGGUGAGUAAUGCGUAGGAAGCUACCCGAUAGAGGGGGAUACCAGUUGGAAACGACUGUUAAUACCGCAUAAUGUCUACGGACCAAAGUGUGGGACCUUCGGGCCACAUGCUAUCGGAUGCGCCUACGUGGGAUUAGCUAGUUGGUGAGGUAAUGGCUCACCAAGGCGACGAUCUCUAGCUGGUUUGAGAGGAUGAUCAGCCACACUGGAACUGAGACACGGUCCAGACUCCUACGGGAGGCAGCAGUGGGGAAUAUUGGACAAUGGGCGCGAAGCCUGAUCCAGCCAUGCGCGUGCAGGAUGACGGUCCUAUGGAUUGUAAACUGCUUUGUACA
This 400-nucleotide ribosomal RNA is filed under the name uncultured bacterium. RNAcentral describes it as "bacterial SSU rRNA". It matches the Rfam family "Bacterial small subunit ribosomal RNA", at positions 30 to 441 of the family's 1533-position model. The record is from RNAcentral.